CAUAACAACCUUAGCCUAUCUUCCAUAACUAUGUUCUCUUGUACGAACCCGGUAGAAGCAUCAACAACUGUCAUUAACAGCUGUCCUCGCCGUUCACCUAUGCCGCCGAACAGGUGAUCUGGAUCUUGACCUAUGCUGCCGAACAGGUGAUCUGGAUCUUGACCUAUGCUUCCGAACAGGUGAUCUUGACUUAUGCUUCCGAACAGGUGAUUUUGAUCUUGAUCUAUGCUUCCGAACAGGUGAUCUGGAUCUUGACUUAUGCUUCCGAACAGGUGAUCUGGAUCUUGACCUAUGCUUCCGAACAGGUGAUCUGGAUCUUGACCUAUGCUUCCGAACUGGUGAUUUGGAUCUUGACCUUCUUACCCUGCAUAAAAAGGAAACCCUGUAAAUAAACAAGGCACAGCUGUAGUAUAAAUGGGAACCCAUACAAAUUCACCUGAGUAGCUUAUAUUGUUAUAUGAUGAUGGUAGUUUGUCUCAAAAAUAUAAACCUUAAACAUGAUUAACUUAAUGGCAACAAACCUGG
RNAcentral lists this long non-coding RNA (525 nucleotides) under Medicago truncatula (barrel medic). RNAcentral describes it as "long non-coding RNA (MTRU_LNC006393)". The record is from RNAcentral. Lineage: Eukaryota; Viridiplantae; Streptophyta; Magnoliopsida; Fabales; Fabaceae.